Molecule: long non-coding RNA, 4023 nt
Filed under: Citrus x clementina
Lineage: Eukaryota; Viridiplantae; Streptophyta; Magnoliopsida; Sapindales; Rutaceae
Description: Citrus clementina (C. clementina) long non-coding RNA (CCLE_LNC001707)
Source: RNAcentral
GAACCGCCCCCCGGCGGGCCGAAACCGGCCAAACCGGCAAAACCGCCCCGAUCAUGCCCGUUUUUCGGCGUUCAAACCGCCGCGCGGCUACCCCCCCAUCCCGAUGCCCCCGGACCCCUGGUCCCGUGGGACCUGACGGAAACGGAAUCGGAUGCCCGGAUCAUGAGAUACGCCCAAAACCGUCUAAACCUACUGAGCGCACCCCGAACAUGCCCAUUUUUCGGCGUUCAAACCGCCGCGCGGCUACCCCCCCAUCCCGAUGCCCCCGGAACCCUGGUCCCGCGGGACCCGACGGAAACGGAAUCGGAGGCCCGGAUCAUGAGUUACGGCCCCUUCUUUGCGGCCCCCGAGGACGUGCGCUAUAGCCCCCCGGGCCACCCCCCAUCCGGCCGCACCCGCCCGAACCCCACCGAACGCGUCCGCCGCCUCCCGAUCCCGCCCCGCGGUCCCCCCCGGGGCAUGAACCGCCCCCCGGCGGGCCGAAACCGGCCAAACCGGCAAAACCGCCACGAUCAUGCCCGUUUUUCGGCGUUCAAACCGCCGCGCGGCUACCCCCCCAUCCCGAUGCCCCCGGACCCCUGGUCCCGUGGGACCUGACGGAAACGGAAUCGGAUGCCCGGAGCAUGAGAUACGCCCAAAACCGUCUAAACCUACUGAGCGCACCCCGAACAUGCCCAUUUUUCGGCGUUCAAACCGCCGCGCGGCUACCCCCCCAUCCCGAUGCCCCCGGAACCCUGGUCCCGCGGGACCCGACGGAAACGGAAUCGGAGGCCCGGAUCAUGAGUUACGGCCCCUUCUUUGCGGCCCCCGAGGACGUGCGCUAUAGCCCCCCGGGCCACCCCCCAUCCGGCCGCACCCGCCCGAACCCCACCGAACGCGUCCGCCGCCUCCCGAUCCCGCCCCGCGGUCCCCCCCGGGGCAUGAACCGCCCCCCGGCGGGCCGAAACCGGCCAAACCGGCUAAACCGCCCCGAUCAUGCCCAUUUUUCGGCGUUCAAACCGCCGCACGGCUACCCCCCCAUCCCGAUGCCCCCGGACCCCUGGUCCCGUGGGACCUGACGGAAACGGAAUCGGAUGCCCGGAUCAUGAGAUACGCCCAAAACCGUCUAAACCUAUUUUUCGGCGUUCAAACCGCCCCGCGGCUACCCCCCCAUCCCGAGGCCCCCGGAACCCUGGUCCCGCGGGACCCGACGGAAACGGAAUCGGAGGCCCGGAUCAUGAGUUACGGCCCCUUCUUUGCGGCCCCCGAGGACGUGCGCUAUAGCCCCCCGGGCCACCCCCCAUCCGGCCGCACCCGCCCGAACCCCACCGAACGCGUCCGCCGCCUCCCGAUCCCGCCCCGCGGUCCCCCCCGGGGCAUGAACCGCCCCCCGGCGGGCCGAAACCGGCCAAACCGGCAAAACCGCCCCGAUCAUGCCCGUUUUUCGGCGUUCAAACCGCCGCGCGGCUACCCCCUCAUCCCGAUGCCCCCGGACCCCUGGUCCCGUGGGACCUGACGGAAACGGAAUCGGAUGCCCGGAUCAUGAGAUACGCCCAAAACCGUCUAAACCUACUGAGCGCACCCCGAACAUGCCCAUUUUUCGACGUUCAAACCGCCGCGCGGCUACCCCCCCAUCCCGAUGCCCCCGGAACCCUGGUCCCGCGGGACCCGACGGAAACGGAAUCGGAGGCCCGGAUCAUGAGUUACGGCCCCUUCUUUGCGGCCCCCGAGGACGUGCGCUAUAGCCCCCCGGGCCACCCCCCAUCCGGCCGCACCCGCCCGAACCCCACCGAACGCGUCCGCCGCCUCCCGAUCCCGCCCCGCGGUCCCCCCCGGGGCAUGAACCGCCCCCCGGCGGGCCGAAACCGGCAAAACCGGCUAAACCGCCCCGAUCAUGCCCAUUUUUCGGCGUUCAAACCGCCGCACGGCUACCCCCCCAUCCCGAUGCCCCCGGACCCCUGGUCCCGUGGGACCUGACGGAAACGGAAUCGGAUGCUCGGAUCAUGAGAUACGCCCAAAACCGUCUAAACCUACUGAGCGCACCCCGAACAUGCCCAUUUUUCGGCGUUCAAACCGCCGCGCGGCUACCCCCCCAUCCCGAUGCCCCCGGAACCCUGGUCCCGCGGGACCCGACGGAAACGGAAUCGGAGGCCCGGAUCAUGAGUUACGGCCCCUUCUUUGCGGCCCCCGAGGACGUGCGCUAUAGCCCCCCGGGCCACCCCCCAUCCGGCCGCACCCGCCCGAACCCCACCGAACGCGUCCGCCGCCUCCCGAUCCCGCCCCGCGGUCCCCCCCGGGGCAUGAACCGCCCCCCGGCGGGCCGAAACCGGCCAAACCGGCUAAACCGCCCCGAUCAUGCCCAUUUUUCGGCGUUCAAACCGCCGCACGGCUACCCCCCCAUCCCGAUGCCCCCGGACCCCUGGUCCCGUGGGACCUGACGGAAACGGAAUCGGAUGCUCGGAUCAUGAGAUACGCCCAAAACCGUCUAAACCUACUGAGCGCACCCCGAACAUACCCAUUUUUCGGCGUUCAAACCGCCGCGCGGCUACCCCCCCAUCCCGAUGCCCCCGGAACCCUGGUCCCGCGGGACCCGACGGAAACGGAAUCGGAGGCCCGGAUCAUGAGUUACGGCCCCUUCUUUGCGGCCCCCGAGGACGUGCGCUAUUGCCCCCCGGGCCACCCCCCAUCCGGCCGCACCCGCCCGAACCCCACCGAACGCGUCCGCCGCCUCCCGAUCCCGCCCCGCGGUCUCCCCCGGGGCGUGAACCGCCCCCCGGCGGGCCGAAACCGGCCAAACCGGCUAAACCGCCCCGAUCAUGCCCAUUUAUCGGCGUUCAAACCGCCGCACGGCUACCCCCUCAUCCCGAUGACCCCGGACCCCUGGUCCCGUGGGACCUGACGGAAACGGAAUCGGAUGCUCGGAUCAUGAGAUACGCCCAAAACCGUCUAAACCUACUGAGCGCACCCCGAACAUGCCCAUUUUUCGGCGUUCAAACCGCCGCGCGGCUACCCCCCCAUCCCGAUGCCCCCGGAACCCUGGUCCCGCGGGACCCGACGGAAACGGAAUCGGAGGCCCGGAUCAUGAGUUACGGCCCGUUCUUUGCGGCCCCCGAGGACGUGCGNNNNNNNNNNNNNNNNNNNNNNNNNNNNNNNNNNNNNNNNNNNNNNNNNNNNNNNNNNNNNNNNNNNNNNNNNNNNNNNNNNNNNNNNNNNNNNNNNNNNCGCGGUCCCCCCCGGGGCAUGAACCGCCCCCCGGCGGGCCGAAACCGGCCAAACCGGCAAAACCGCCCCGAUCAUGCCCGUUUUUCGGCGUUCAAACCGCCGCGCGGCUACCCCCCCAUCCCGAUGCCCCCGGACUCCUGGUCCCGUGGGACCUGACGGAAACGGAAUCGGAUGCCCGGAUCAUGAGAUACGCCCAAAACCGUCUAAACCUACUGAGCGCACCCCAAACAUGCCCAUUUUUCGGCGUUCAAACCGCCGCGCGGCUACAACCCCAUCCCGAUGCCCCCGGAACCCUGGUCCCGCGGGACCCGACGGAAACGGAAUCGGAGGCCCGGAUCAUGAGUUACGGCCCCUUCUUUGCGGCCCCCGAGGACGUGCGCUAUAGCCCCCCGGGCCACCCCCCAUCCGGCCGCACCCGCCCGAACCCCACCGAACGCGUCCGCCGCCUCCCGAUACCGCCCCGCGGUCCCCCCCGGGGCAUGAACCGCCCCCCGGCGGGCCGAAACCGGCCAAACCGGCAAAACCGCCCCGAUCAUGCCCGUUUUUCGGCGUUCAAACCGCCGCGCGGCUACCCCCCCAUCCCGAUGCCCCCGGACCCCUGGUCCCGUGGGACCUGACGGAAACGGAAUCGGAUGCCCGGAGCAUGAGAUACGCCCAAAACCGUCUAAACCUACUGAGCGCACCCCGAACAUGCCCAUUUUUCGGCGUUCAAACCGCCGCGCAGCUACCCCCCCAUCCCGAUGCCCCCGGAACCCUGGUCCCGCGGGACCCGACGGAAACGGAAUCGGAGGCCCGGAUCAUGAGUUACGGCCCCUUCUUUGC